This 324-nucleotide ribosomal RNA is filed under the name uncultured eukaryote. Its description in RNAcentral is "partial 18S ribosomal RNA". It matches the Rfam family "Eukaryotic small subunit ribosomal RNA", at positions 1470 to 1796 of the family's 1831-position model. The record is from RNAcentral.
CCCUUAGAUGUUCUGGGCUGCACGCGCGCUACACUGAAGCUAUCAACACGUUUUCCCUCCUUGAGAAGGGCGGGUAACCUUUUGAAUCAGCUUCGUGGUAGGGAUCGGGGCUUGCAAUUGUUCCCCGUGAACCAGGAAUUCCUAGUAGACGCGAGUCAUAAGCUCGCAUCGAUUAAGUCCCUGCCCUUUGUACGCACCGCCCGUCGCUACUACCGAUUGAACGUUUUAGUGAGGCAUUUGGACCGACGCAUCUCAGUUUAACCGCUGGUUUGUGUUGGAAAGACUUCCAAACUUGAGCGUUUAGAGGAAGUAAAAGUCGUAACA